This 72-nucleotide transfer RNA is filed under the name Marmota monax (woodchuck). It matches the Rfam family "tRNA". Rfam says of the family: Transfer RNA (tRNA) molecules are approximately 80 nucleotides in length. Their secondary structure includes four short double-helical elements and three loops (D, anti-codon, and T loops). Further hydrogen bonds mediate the characteristic L-shaped molecular structure. tRNAs have two regions of fundamental functional importance: the anti-codon, which is responsible for specific mRNA codon recognition, and the 3' end, to which the tRNAs corresponding amino acid is attached (by aminoacyl-tRNA synthetases). tRNAs cope with the degeneracy of the genetic code in two manners: having more than one tRNA (with a specific anti-codon) for a particular amino acid; and 'wobble' base-pairing, i.e. permitting non-standard base-pairing at the 3rd anti-codon position. Lineage: Eukaryota; Metazoa; Chordata; Mammalia; Rodentia; Sciuridae. The record is from Rfam by way of RNAcentral.
GGGGAUAUAGAUCAAUGGUAGGGUGCUUGCCUAGCAUGUAGGAGACCCUGGGUUCAAUCCCCAGGAUCUCCA